This is an RNA transcript of Cucurbita moschata (crookneck pumpkin), 2550 nucleotides long. RefSeq lists it as uncharacterized. The record is from RefSeq and is a predicted model, not a curated record. The transcript has 2 exons. NCBI's taxonomy places the organism in Eukaryota, Viridiplantae, Streptophyta, Magnoliopsida, Cucurbitales, Cucurbitaceae.
CUUCAAACUCUCCCUUUCCCUCUCUCCCCCUUUAUUGCAUUUAUUUUACUAUUUUUUUUUUUUUUAUAUUUAUUUUCUCAAUUUCUCUCCCUGAAAUUUUCCGACCAUCCAAUCUUUAUUUGCCACAUUCUCACAUUACCCUCGUGUUUUAUCUUUAUGAGUAACAUUUAUUGUUAUUUUUCGGUAAUAAUUUAAGCUUCCCAUUUCAAAGAAAUCCAUAUGAUGCUUUGCAAUUCAUUGAGAGAUCCACUUCGGCCAUGGCUUCGUGAUUAUGUUAGGCUUCAGUCUUUCGCACUCAUUCUCAUUUAUAUCCAGGUGCAUUCUUUCCCCCAUCGGAACUAUCAUUCUUUGUUAUCUCUAUUUUCAGUUCUUAAUCUUAAUCUAUUUUUUUGUAAAUACAUAUGAGAAAGAUCGGGUGCGCAUUGAUUGGAUCCCUAGGGGCAUUGCUUAUAAAUUUGGUGAUCGCAUUGUUCGCUUUGGUAGCCGUACAUAUGCUCUUCUCUCCCUCUCCCUUGUUUUAGAAUGUUUAGUUUGUUUCUGGGAAUGGGAGUCUUGACUGCUUGGCGCUUGUUCAAAGAGUAAAAUUAGAAGGGACUCAUUCAAAACAAGUUUGUGUUACAUUAUAAUUCUAUUUUUCAUAUUCAUAUGCUUCAUACGAUACCCAAUAGGUACCCUAUCCGCCCUCCAACUCUUUACCAAUGCUUUUCCUUUCCUUUCUUUUAACUACUUGGAUAAAAUCAUGAUAAACCUUCCUCAUUGUUUCAUCUUUGACACUGGUCCGUGGCUGCACUGUAGUUUAUCAUCAGAUAGAUGAAGCUAAUUCAAUUUACGCAGAAACUUUACACUCUUGGUUGUUUCUCUAAUUUCUGAAAAAAUAGGAUUUUGAAUCAGCUAUGAUUAAUGAAAAGAGAUUUUGAAUGAAGCUUUGAUCUUGUAUAGUUGCAACAACAUCACUUGUACGCUUUAUCAUUUUCUACUGCAAGCCAUCACCCAAUCUAAAUUAAGAUAUAUAUAUCUAGAUCUAUCUAUAAAUAUAUAAGACUCUAUUUGAGCAAUGCAUUCUCCGUUGUCCUGACACCAAUCUUCUUGCCUGCCUUUUCUUUUCCAAUGUUCAUAUUAAGUGCGCAUGUGCAUAGUGAGCUUCUAAAUUGAUGCAUGGUGUUGACCGCUGUUUUACCCUGUAAUUUGAAUGAAAGGUUGCCUAUAUGCAGGAACGUUUCAUCCAAGCAAUAUGGACCCCUUUUUACCUUUUCAGUGAAGCUUACUCUGGCUAUGCAAAAUAUUGGUUUUGCUGUUAGACUAUCGUCUUCACUACUGUGGAUUCAAAUUUACAGAUCGGGGAUUUCAUAUAUGGAAACUCCAGUUCCCCGAGAGGCAGAUUAUGAUUUGAGAAAUAGUUUUCUUAGCCCCGCUACUCCUGUUGUAGUUAGACAACCCUCAGGUUCUGAUGAUAUGAUAGGGGGCUCUAUCUAUGAUCCAACUUCUUGCUCGUCCGUAUUCGAAGAUGGUCAUGAUAGUAAAUGUUUGUCUGGGGUAAUGUAUCAACUUUUUACGCACUCCUGCUUGCACCCGUUCUGAUCUGUUGUCAUCCAUUUACUAGUUCUAAAUCUGCUAGCUAUCAUUGCUUCAUUUUAUAUUUUACAAGUAUUUGGUUUUCCACGGUGUCUUUUCCACGGUGUCUUAACACAUUUAUUGUAGUAACAAAUGUCGGAUACGGAUACGUGUUCAACAAGUGUUGGACAUGGACACGCUAGCUAACAUUAUCUGAGUUGUUCAAGUGUUCCUCAUUGCCUUCAUCCUCCAAUUCUUAAAUUGGCAGUCCUUCAUUGGGCACAUUCGUUAAAAACUUGUUCCUGUUGUUUACACCUGAAACACUUGUCAAGAGUAGGUCGGUUAUAAGAAUUAGAUUUUGUUUUCUUUGAACUACCACCUUCCAAAUCUAUAUUGGAUGGUGUUAUUGAUUGGGAUUUUGUCCUUUUUGGUUUGUUGCACAAGGAAGUUCCUUGUGCAAGAUUGUUUGCGGCAUCGAUUGUAUUUCUCCUUUGACCUUGCUGUUGCUUCCAAGUAUUCCUUCUUUGGCAAGUCUUGACUGUUUUUUGCUAAUUUUGUCUUUCGAUCUUGGUAGCUAAGGUGAUAGCCUCCGAAAGAUAACCAAGAGGAUAUCUCCCAUUUCGGUAAUGGUGAUAAUAGUUCUACUUCUGGGCCAGAUGUAUCUCGAUCAAAGCUGUCCAGACAUUUCCAAGUAGCUGAUGUGAGUUUCCUUAUCUCAGACAAUCAAACCUGUUAGCUUCCUUAGGCUUAUAGAAUUAUUUUUACUCUUCCUAGCCAAAUAUUAUUGUGUUUGUAUAUUUCACUGGAUGAUAGGAAGUGGGUCAAUGUACUGGUUUGCCUCAGCUGUUUCUUUUAAAAUCUUUGCCUUUUCUCUCUAGUGGAGUUUGUAUCUUUAGAGCAUCAGUCAUUUUUCCUUUAUUAAAUGAUUUUUUUUUUUUUUUUUUUUUUUUAAAUUUCUGGUUAAAAAUAAAUAUCAGUGGGAGGACAUGGUAAAUGAGA